UAGACUAUACUUUCAGGGAUCAUUUCUAUAGUUUGUUACUAGAGAAGUUUCUCUGAAUGUGUAGAGCACCGAAGACAAGAAU
Small nucleolar RNA from Macaca fascicularis (crab-eating macaque), 82 nucleotides. Its record names the gene U3. It matches the Rfam family "Small nucleolar RNA U3". Rfam says of the family: Small nucleolar RNAs (snoRNAs) are involved in the processing and modification of rRNA in the nucleolus. There are two main classes of snoRNAs: the box C/D class, and the box H/ACA class. The record is from Ensembl. NCBI's taxonomy places the organism in Eukaryota, Metazoa, Chordata, Mammalia, Primates, Cercopithecidae.